This 502-nucleotide ribosomal RNA is filed under the name uncultured bacterium. Its description in RNAcentral is "bacterial SSU rRNA". It matches the Rfam family "Bacterial small subunit ribosomal RNA", at positions 94 to 630 of the family's 1533-position model. The record is from RNAcentral.
AGUGGCGACCGGGUGAGUAACACGUGACUAACCUACUCGAGUGGGGAAUAACCUCGGGAAACCGGGGCUAAUACCGCAUAAUGUCUUCGGACCAAAGGAGCAAUUCGCUUGAAGAGGGGGUCGCGGCCGAUUAGCUAGUUGGUGAGGUAACGGCCCACCAAGGCAAUGAUCGGUAGCCGGCCUGAGAGGGCGCACGGCCACACUGGAACUGAAAUACGGUCCAGACUCCUACGGGAGGCAGCAGUGGGGAAUUUUGCGCAAUGGGGGAAACCCUGACGCAGCAACGCCGCGUGGAGGAUGAAGCCCCUUGGGGUGUAAACUCCUUUCGAUCGGGACGAUUAUGACGGUACCGGAAGAAGAAGCACCGGCUAACUCUGUGCCAGCAGCCGCGGUAAUACAGAGGGUGCAAGCGUUGUUCGGAAUUAUUGGGCGUAAAGGGUGCGUAGGCGGUGCGGUAAGUCUGUUGUGAAAUCUCCGGGCUCAACUCGGAGCCUGCAACGGA